This 897-nucleotide ribosomal RNA is filed under the name uncultured bacterium. RNAcentral's name for it is "bacterial SSU rRNA". It matches the Rfam family "Bacterial small subunit ribosomal RNA", at positions 8 to 916 of the family's 1533-position model. The record is from RNAcentral.
AGAGUUUGAUCCUGGCUCAGGAUGAACGCUGGCGGCGUGCCUAAUACAUGCAAGUCGAACGAGGUGCUUUUGUAGCAAUACGAGAGUAUCCUAGUGGCGAACGGGUGAGUAACGCGUUGGUGACCUACCCCAAAGUGUGGGAUAACAGUCCGAAAGGAUUGCUAAUACCGCAUGUGGUUAUUGGAUUUAGAAACUGAUAACUAAAGGAGCAAUUCGCUUUGGGAGGGACCUGCGUCCCAUCAGCUAGUUGGUGAGGUAAUGGCUCACCAAGGCUACGACGGGUAGGGGACCUGAGAGGGUGACCCCCCACAAUGGAACUGAAACACGGUCCAUACACCUACGGGUGGCAGCAGUAGGGAAUAUUGCACAAUGGGCGAAAGCCUGAUGCAGCAACGCCGCGUGCACGAUGAAGGCCUUCGGGUCGUAAAGUGCUUUUCUGGGAGAUGAGAAAGGACAGUAUCUCAGGAAUAAGUCUCGGCUAACUACGUGCCAGCAGCCGCGGUAAAACGUAGGAGGCGAGCGUUAUCCGGAUUCACUGGGCGUAAAGCGCGUGCAGGUGGCUUGGUAAGUUAGGCGUGAAAUCUCCCGGCUCAACUGGGAGAGGUCGUCUAAUACUACCGGGCUAGAGAGCAGAAGAGGAAGAUGGAAUUCCCGGUGUAGUGGUGAAAUGCGUAGAUAUCGGGAGGAACACCAGUGGCGAAAGCGAUCUUCUGGUCUGUUUCUGACACUCAGACGCGACAGCUAGGGUAGUAAACGGGAUUAGAGACCCCGGUAAUCCUAGCCGUAAACGAUGUGAACUUGGCGUUGGUGGGUUAAACUCCAUCAGUGCCGAAGCAAACGCGAUAAGUUCACCGCCUGGGGACUACGGCCGCAAGUUAAACUCAAAUGAAUUGACGG